Molecule: ribosomal RNA, 492 nt
Filed under: uncultured bacterium
Lineage: Bacteria
Description: partial 16S ribosomal RNA
Rfam family: Bacterial small subunit ribosomal RNA
Source: RNAcentral
AGUGAACGCUGGCGGUAGGCCUAACACAUGCAAGUCGAACGGCAGCACAGUAAGAGCUUGCUCUUACGGGUGGCGAGUGGCGGACGGGUGAGGAAUACAUCGGAAUCUACUUUUUCGUGGGGGAUAACGUAGGGAAACUUACGCUAAUACCGCAUACGACCUACGGGUGAAAGCAGGGGAUCUUCGGACCUUGCGCGAUUGAAUGAGCCGAUGUCGGAUUAGCUAGUUGGCGGGGUAAAGGCCCACCGAGGCGACGAUCCGUAGCUGGUCUGAGAGGAUGAUCAGCCACACUGGAACUGAGACACGGUCCAGACUCCUACGGGAGGCAGCAGUGGGGAAUAUUGGACAAAGGGCGCAAGCCUGAUCCAGCCAUACCGCGUGGGUGAAGAAGGCCUUCGGGUUGUAAAGCCCUUUUGUUGGGAAAGAAAAGCAGCAGGUUAAUACCCCGCUGUUCUGACGGUACCCAAAGUAUAAGCACCGGCUAACUUCGUG